UCCUCUUUUCUCCUAGAUACUAGUAUUGAGAAUUUCCUUCCGAUCAUAGUUUUUGACGUCGGUGAGUCAAAGCUCCACCUACGUUGAAAAUUUUGCUUUUUUCAGCUCUCUAGAUCUCCUAUCUUCUUCUUUUUUUUUGUUAACAAAUCUUUUUCUCUUUUUGAAUCCCUUUCAAACCUUCCUGAAACUAAAGCAUCUGAGAUUAUCAAUAACUAGACUCAAAAGGAGACAAUGGUGUUCGGCGAUCUCCAUCUCUCGUCCUCAACUUGCUCUCAUAUCGACCAAUUAUCUCUGGUUCUUCUCCCCUGCCUCGAAUCUUGUCCAAAACCACCAAACACGAACCCUAGCUUCGCCAGAGAUGUGUGCUGCACCACAAUAUUUUCUAUCAUCUCCGUACGAUGGCUG
Arabidopsis thaliana (thale cress) is the source of this 405-nucleotide long non-coding RNA. RefSeq annotates it as other RNA. The record is from RefSeq. The transcript has a single exon. NCBI's taxonomy places the organism in Eukaryota, Viridiplantae, Streptophyta, Magnoliopsida, Brassicales, Brassicaceae.